UGUUUGAUGUUCUAACGUGGACCCGUGAUCCGGGUUGCGGACAGUGUCUGGUGGGUAGUUUGACUGGGGCGGUCUCCUCCUAAAGAGUAACGGAGGAGCACGAAGGUUGGCUAAUCCUGGUCGGACAUCAGGAGGUUAGUGCAAUGGCAUAAGCCAGCUUGACUGCGAGCGUGACGGCGCGAGCAGGUGCGAAAGCAGGUCAUAGUGAUCCGGUGGUUCUGAAUGGAAGGGCCAUCGCUCAACGGAUAAAAGGUACUCCGGGGAUAACAGGCUGAUACCGCCCAAGAGUUCAUAUCGACGGCGGUGUUUGGCACCUCGAUGUCGGCUCAUCACAUCCUGGGGCUGAAGUAGGUCCCAAGGGUAUGGCUGUUCGCCAUUUAAAGUGGUACGCGAGCUGGGUUUAGAACGUCGUGAGACAGUUCGGUCCCUAUCUGCCGUGGGCGCUGGAGAACUGAGGGGGGCUGCUCCUAGUACGAGAGGACC
Molecule: ribosomal RNA, 483 nt
Filed under: Shigella sonnei
Lineage: Bacteria; Pseudomonadati; Pseudomonadota; Gammaproteobacteria; Enterobacterales; Enterobacteriaceae
Description: partial 23S ribosomal RNA
Rfam family: Bacterial large subunit ribosomal RNA
Source: RNAcentral